GCCUUCGUGGUGUAGUGGUCAGAUAGCUCGACGCGUAACCGAGAGGUCCGUGGUUCGAUUCCCGGCGAAGGCG
Molecule: transfer RNA, 73 nt
Filed under: Stegodyphus mimosarum
Lineage: Eukaryota; Metazoa; Arthropoda; Arachnida; Araneae; Eresidae
Rfam family: tRNA
About the family: Transfer RNA (tRNA) molecules are approximately 80 nucleotides in length. Their secondary structure includes four short double-helical elements and three loops (D, anti-codon, and T loops).
Source: Rfam by way of RNAcentral